RNAcentral lists this unclassified non-coding RNA (396 nucleotides) under soil metagenome. Its description in RNAcentral is "partial contains 5.8S ribosomal RNA, internal transcribed spacer 2, and large subunit ribosomal RNA". The stretch from base 1 to 122 matches the Rfam family "5.8S ribosomal RNA", at positions 35 to 154 of the family's 154-position model. The record is from RNAcentral.
GAUGAAGAACGUAGCGAAAUGCGAUACUUGGUGUGAAUUGCAGAAUCCCGUGAACCAUCGAGUCUUUGAACGCAAGUUGCGCCCGAAGCCAUUAGGCCGAGGGCACGCCUGCCUGGGUGUCACACACCGUUACCCUCGCGCCAACGUCCAUCGUUGGCCGCGGCGCGGGGCGUGCGCUGACCUCCCGCGAGCGGGGUCUCGUGAUUGGUUGAAAAUCGAGUUCGCGGUCGAGGGUGCCGUGAUGAAAUGGUGGAUGGGCGACGCCCGAGGCCAAUCACGCGCGACUCUGUCCGGCACGGACUCCUGGACCCCUUCGGCGUCUCCGGACGCUCUUUGGCGAGACCUCAGGUCAGGCGGGGCUACCCGCUGAGUUUAAGCAUAUCAAUAAGCGGAGGA